RNAcentral lists this transfer RNA (85 nucleotides) under Felis catus (domestic cat). It matches the Rfam family "tRNA". From Rfam's summary of the family: Transfer RNA (tRNA) molecules are approximately 80 nucleotides in length. Their secondary structure includes four short double-helical elements and three loops (D, anti-codon, and T loops). Lineage: Eukaryota; Metazoa; Chordata; Mammalia; Carnivora; Felidae. The record is from Rfam by way of RNAcentral.
GCCUGGGUGGCUCAGUCGGUUAAGCGGCUGACUUCAGCUCAGGUCAUGAUCUCGCGGUCCGUGGGUUCGAGCCCCGCGUCGGGCU